Long non-coding RNA from Aquila chrysaetos chrysaetos, 4505 nucleotides. RefSeq lists it as uncharacterized. NCBI's taxonomy places the organism in Eukaryota, Metazoa, Chordata, Aves, Accipitriformes, Accipitridae. The transcript has 3 exons. The record is from RefSeq and is a predicted model, not a curated record.
UGGGUUUUCCUCACCAAAACUGUGGUGUAGGUCUGUGAACUUGUGUUGCAGGUGGCCCUGGGAGCAAAUUGUCACUUGGCACUAGCAGAUGUGACAAACAGCAUUAGAAAGAUGGGGUGAAGCCAGGAAGCAUUUGAAAGUGUUUAGACGGGUGUUUAUUGUAGUAGUACAAAAACAUGAUUUUCAAUUGAAAUACAGGUUUAUUCCUGGCUUCUUUUUCUCUAAAGGAAAAUGCCAUUAUAGGCAUUUGCCUGCCAGGCUGCAAGGUUGAGAUCCUCUGAAAAAAUCCCAGCUGAAUACAGUGUCACUAUUGCAGAGCUGAUGAUUUUUGCCUGCUAUUCCUAUAGAAAACUAAUGGGUGGGGUUUUGUUGUGUGGAUAGAAUUAAGAGACUAGAACCUGUGGAACCUUCUUAAAGUGAAAGGCUACAAGUUCAGGGGUGGUGACAAGCUUGAGAGGGAAGGGUUAAAAACACUGUCUAGUUGGAGGCAGCCCUGGCUUUCCUGCAUACUUGUAUCAACAGGUUGGGCAUGACCAAUACCCGGAUAAUGAAAUCACUCACCAGUAUCUCCCCGUCACCUUGGUGAUGUGGUUGUAGGACUUUGCAAGUUGUACCUCCCUGGUAGUCACUUACCUGUUGCAGUGGGACGUGGGUGCUUGUACUGUGGGUAGGAGUUUGAGCCGGCUUUGCCUUUCUGAGCAGAAUUCCUGCUUGUGCAGGGAAUGAGAAGCCUUGCUCUUUCCCAGGAGUGUGUCACAGCUGCAAUGUUGAGAAAUGCUGUGGCCCCUUAACAAAGUGUACAAGAGAGCUCCCUGCAGCAUGGGCAGGCACCACCUUCUGAUUCUCUGAGGCUGAUUCUUAGCUAGUGUAGGUCAGCAGGAUUCACCAAAAUAAUCAGUUGCUCUGUGCUGAUCGUCCACAGCUGUGGCUUUGCAGAUCUGGGUUGAUACCAAUACCAGAAGGUUUCUGUGUGAGGUAUGUGUUGCAUGGUGUUGGCUGCUACCAGCUGUGACGAGGUGAAGUUUAAUUCAGGGUGUAGUUAAGUUUCAUUUUAGAGCAGACUUAAUUGUAAUUGCAGGCUGCCACCAAAGGGGAUGAUCUUUUUUUUUCACCCCAAGAACUAGUGACUAGCAAGACAGACCUAUUCUUUCCCAUAGGGAAACUAGGAAAUAAAUCCACCCAAAAAAACAAUUUUUCAUAGGGUCAGUGAACUGAUGAUGUUAUAGCAAAGCUGUGUGAUGGUAGAUUUGGGGUAAACAUGGUGGGAGUGUGCAGAGAGUGAAAAUGUUCUUGUAUGUAGUAGCCCACAGGUGGAUCAGAUUAAGUGUAUUAUAAAGUGGUACCCUAAUAUUCAGAUAUGGAGGAGGCUUGUAGAAGCCCUGAGGCCACCACUAACUAUGAAAUUCCUGGCACUGAGUUCCACUUCUCACCCUAUUUUCACACAAAUUGCUGUUUCCAUCUCGGAUUGUUAACUGAGGAUUCCACCAGAUAGUACUAAAAAUGAGUGUUCGUUUUGUGAGUAUUUCUUUAGGGAAGGAAAAAGCCUGACUUAGAAUUUUCCUGACUCUUUGAAUUUAUUGCCGCUGCUAUCUGAUUAAAAGUAACAAGUACAUCUUCAAAAGACAACUUGGUGUUCAGAUACCAUCUGCUCAAAGCUUCAAAGAGACUCCUGGCACCUGGAAAGGAAACAGUAAGUGUUGGGCGAUUGCCCUCACUUGCUUCAUACCAUACAGUCUCUCUGUUUAAAACCCUCAGCGUGAAUCCUGUGAUUUGGCAGGUGGAAGGUCUAGCAGCAGGUCCGUUAGCCUUGGCUUUACAAACCUUCAUCUCCCUCCCAGGGGCCUGAGAUCAGGAGCUUUGCUGCAGCUCAGCAGCCUUCAUCAGUGGCUUCUCUUCAUCCAGCACAAUGGGGAGCUUCUCAGCUGACAGCUUUGCUUGGGGCAGAAUCACAAGCAGAUGAAAGGAGCUCAGCAGCUUCAGCUGAGGUUUGAAAUCCUGAUUGUUGUUGUGCGUACAAGAAGUAAAAUUGCCUGGUUUUACUUUUAUCAAUGAGAGCCUAAAAAUCAUCAUUAGAGGUCAGGGCCUCGCUCAGCUGGAUAUGGUAGACACGUAUUAUAUAAAAGUACAUUCUUUGCUCCUGAGAGUGUACAGCUCGGGCUUGUAGCAAGGCAAUGACUAAAGAUAAGAGUGAUUUGAAGUGAUUGCAGUAGGCAUAGUGAUGUGCUGAAUGCUUUUUACUUCCCCUUGCUGUGGUAGCGGCCACCCCAGCUGGUGUAACCGCAAUGUGACGCUCCCAAAGAGGUCAGCUUUUUAAACAGGGCGCAGUUUGCUCUGUGGGGUCACUUGUGUGAGGCAUUGCCACGAGGCCAUUGUUCCUCCCCACUAAGAUCUUCCUUGUUCUUUAGGUUGAGAUGCUUGCUGAAAGAUCCCAAUCUCCACACAAGUCAAACAGCUGGAUUGAUUUGUUGCUGGCCAGAUGUACCAUAGAGUUAAAAGAGUUGAUUUAUAACUCUAAUAAGUAAUGUUUCCUAUGUGGGUGUAUUCUAGUUGUGCAAGUUCUGAACUUUGAUGUUUGAAAAGAAGAGGUAUCACUGAAAAGUAGUUAGUGUAGCGAUCUGUAACAAUGCUGUCCUUUCAUUUGAGGGCUGCUACAGGGUAGUAAUAAGAUCACAGCAGUCCUGGGUUCCCAGUGAAACCAGUGAACGGAAAUGGCAAGGAGAGAUGGAACAAAAGUAGCUGACCCACCAAUUAAUUAGUCUUCCAAACUGUGGCAGCUAUUUUCUUCUCAAACUAAUUACUCCGAAAGAGCCUCAGUGGGCUGUUGACUCCUUGGCAUUCAGUAACACCACUGAACUGUGAAGAUGUGGAACAGAAAACCUUGAAGCAAGACAAUAAAAAGCAGCUUGAAAACAAUGCUCUUGAAAGCCUUAUCUGUGAAAUACCGUUUGCACGCUUAAAUUUCAGCUUAAGUCUUAUAAAGUUGUUGGAGCCGUUGGGAUUGCUUACAUGCUUGACAGGCUGCUGGUGUUGUCUAUGUUUUUCUUUUGAAGACAAUCAUCUUGCUGCCACAGAGGUGUCAGAAUCUGUCUCUGGACCCGGAAUUGGUGCGGAGCUGUUCUGGAGCCGCUGAACAGCUUUCCCAGGAUACCACUUCCUUACCUAGUGUGGACCAGCACCAGGGUGUCUCCACAGCUUCCUUAGAGCUGUUCCGGUUGGCAUCCAUCAAGGACAUGGCCCCAGCACUCAGGUGAUGCUGCUUUUAAUUCAGUAAAAUUCUGCAACUCCUUGAUGUUUUUCAGAGGAAAAAGAAAAAAAUCUUUGAUAUCUUGGGUUAGGAACCCAAGAAACAGGGGUUCACCCAAUCAUUGUCAGUAAAACAGAGGGAAUGGUUCCUCCUGUUGUGAUGAGUGUCACGGAAAUCCAAUAAAUGUUAAACCAUCUUUUCUGGACAUCAGUUUUUCUACUUGCACAUGCUUCAAUGUUGGUGCUUACUAAAUAGCUAAGACUCUAGUAAUUUAGCCUCAGCAGAAAGCUGCAUCCUGGGUUUCUGUGAAUAGGAUGCUAUUAGCUUCCAGUGAUGGCCAUGCAAAUCCGUCAUGACGGGGCAGGUCCAGGGUGAAGCCAGGUCAGUAAGGCAAGGCCGGGAUCAGCGAGGGCCAUGGCUGGGCACAGGCAUGCCCAUGCGGGUAUGCAAGCUUUACAAGGGCCCCAGCCUAAGUGCCAAGGUGGGGAGGCCCCAGACUGGGCUUCUCCCAGCUCCUUCUCACUCUGCUCCUUCUGCGUCACUCAGCUCCAAGGUUACUCAGCUGCACCGUAUCAGAGCUGACCUUGAACACAGGCGGCCAUGCACCUGCAAGGAGGGGGAAGAGGUUGCAGAGCCUGUUCCUGCUCCCAGGACCCUGACAUUUUCUGAGGCUGGAGCUAGAGAGUGCUGUUUUUUCCACUGCUAAUCUUAUCUCAUUACCAUGGUGAUAGAUGCAUUUUCUGCACAGGAUUUUCUUUCUCAAGGGGGGAAGAGAUGAUGCAAAGGAGAGCUCUGGUCCGAGCCUAGGGUCAUAGCCACUUCAGCCAUACAUUGCAAAUAAGGGAAGUAUCAGCACCAAGAACUCCUCAAAGGGAAGUUUGUGUGGGUGUUGUAUUAUUCUCUCUGAAUUUUUGCUCGAUACUGAUUUUUAUAUCUAUCUGAUAUUAAUAAAUCCCUGCUAACAGCACUGACGUCAAUUGAGUAUGGCUUUGUAUCUGUGCAAUUAAGGGAGACAUCUGGCAUCUUUAAAAGAAACAUGAGGGAAGUGUAUUUCCCCAGGAGAAUCCCGUUCCUGUGUUGUCAGGGAAUUGUUAAUAAAUUAUUAAUUAAUAAUCACUCUGAUGGACAAAGUUACAGGUAUACAAAUUGCGAACAGAGUAGUUCACAUAGGAAAAGACUAAAUAAAGAAGGAAAAGGCUAAAUAAAAAGACUAAGGGUUUUUCACGUGGUCUCUGAGGCUGUGAAACCUGGAUUUAAAGGC